Molecule: ribosomal RNA, 2391 nt
Filed under: activated sludge metagenome
Description: bacterial LSU rRNA
Rfam family: Bacterial large subunit ribosomal RNA
Source: RNAcentral
AGUGCAUAUGGUGGAUGCCUUGGCGAUUACAGGCGAUGAAGGACGUGGUAGCCUGCGUAAAGUUUCGGGGAGCUGGCAAACAAGCUUUGAUCCGGAAAUAUCCGAAUGGGGAAACCCACCCGCAAGGGUAACCGUCUCUGAAUAUAUAGGAGAAUGGUGGCGAACCGAGUGAACUGAAACAUCUAAGUAGCUCGAGGAAAAGAAAUCAACCGAGAUUCCGUAAGUAGUGGCGAGCGAACAUGGAAUAGCCUGUUAUUUUUAGCACAUGCGAUAGUAGAACGGAAUGGAAAGUCCGGCCAUAGAGGGUGAUAGCCCCUUAUACGAAAUCCCGUGUGUGGAACUAGGAUAACGACAAGUAGGGCGGGGCACGAGAAACCUUGUCUGAACAUGGGGGGACCAUCCUCCAAGGCUAAAUACUCGUAAUCGACCGAUAGUGAACUAGUACCGUGAGGGAAAGGCGAAAAGAACCCCGGGAGGGGAGUGAAAUAGAUCCUGAAACCGUAUGCAUACAAACAGUGGGAGCGGACUUGUUCCGUGACUGCGUACCUUUUGUAUAAUGGGUCAGCGACUUACAUUCAGUAGCAAGCUUAACCGAUAGGGGAGGCGUAGCGAAAGCGAGUCCGAAUAGGGCGUCUAGUUGCUGGGUGUAGACCCGAAACCAAGUGAUCUAUCCAUGGCCAGGAUGAAGGUGCCGUAACAGGUACUGGAGGUCCGAACCCACUAAUGUUGAAAAAUUAGGGGAUGAGCUGUGGAUAGGGGUGAAAGGCUAAACAAACUUGGAAAUAGCUGGUUCUCUCCGAAAACUAUUUAGGUAGUGCCUCGUAUAUCAUUCUCGGGGGUAGAGCACUGUUAUGGCUAGGGGGUUCAUAAGAACUUACCAAACCAUUGCAAACUCCGAAUACUGAGAAAUGCAAUUACGGGAGACAGACCAUGGGUGCUAACGUCCGUGGUCAAGAGGGAAACAACCCAGACCGACAGCUAAGGUCCCAAAUGACGUGCUAAGUGGAAAACGAAGUGGGAAGGCAUAGACAGCCAGGAUGUUGGCUUAGAAGCAGCCAUCAUUUAAAGAAAGCGUAAUAGCUCACUGGUCGAGUCGUCCUGCGCGGAAGAUGUAACGGGGCUAAGCACGUAACCGAAGCUUCGGAUGCUGCAUUCUUCGGAAUGUAUGCAUGGUAGGAGAGCGUUCUGUAGGCCUGCGAAGGUGUGCUGUGAGGCAUGCUGGAGGUAUCAGAAGUGCGAAUGCUGACAUGAGUAGCGAUAAAGGGUGUGAAAAGCACCCUCGCCGAAAGCCCAAGGUUUCCUGCGCAACGUUCAUCGGCGCAGGGUGAGUCGGCCCCUAAGGUGAGGCAGAGAUGCGUAGCUGAUGGGAAACAGGUUAAUAUUCCUGUACUUAUAUUGAAUGCGAUGUGGGGACGGAGAAGGUUAGGUCAGCCAACUGUUGGAAUAGUUGGUUCAAGCGUGUAGGGAGAUCUCUUAGGCAAAUCCGGGAGGUCAAUUCUGAGGCGUGAUAACGAGGUACUUAGGUACUGAAGUGAUUGAUACCAUGCUUCCAAGAAAAGCCACUAAGCUCCAGUUCAAUAAAACCGUACCGCAAACCGACACAGGUGGGCAGGAUGAGAAUUCUAAGGCGCUUGAGAGAACCCGGGAGAAGGAACUCGGCAAAUUAGCACCGUAACUUCGGGAGAAGGUGCGCCCCGGUAGUGUGUAGAGACUUGCUCUUGAAGCACGAUGGGGUUGCAGUGAAAAGGUGGCUGCGACUGUUUAAUAAAAACACAGCACUCUGCAAACACGAAAGUGGACGUAUAGGGUGUGACGCCUGCCCGGUGCUGGAAGAUUAAAUGAUGGGGUGCAAGCUCUUGAUUGAAGUCCCAGUAAACGGCGGCCGUAACUAUAACGGUCCUAAGGUAGCGAAAUUCCUUGUCGGGUAAGUUCCGACCCGCACGAAUGGCGUAACGAUGGCCACACUGUCUCCUCUCGGGACUCAGCGAAGUUGAAAUGUUUGUGAAGAUGCAAUCUACCCGCGGCUAGACGGAAAGACCCCAUGAACCUUUACUGUAGCUUUACAUUGGACUUUGACAAGAUUUGUGUAGGAUAGGUGGGAGACUAUGAAGCGGCGUCGCUAGAUGUCGUGGAGUCAACCUUGAAAUACCACCCUGAUGUUGUUGAGGUUCUAACCUAGGUCCAUUAUCUGGACUGGGGACCGUGUAUGGUGGGCAGUUUGACUGGGGCGGUCUCCUCCCAAAGAGUAACGGAGGAGUGCGAAGGUAACCUAGGUACGGUCGGAAAUCGUACUGAUAGUGCAAUGGCAUAAGGUUGCUUGACUGCGAGACGGACAGGUCGAGCAGGUGCGAAAGCAGGUCAUAGUGAUCCGGUGGUUCUGUAUGGAAGGGC